AGUGAUAUAAUUUUUAAGAAGCCACAAAAAUCAAGAAAUAUUCUUGACAAGAAAACUUAGUUUCUUGUUCUUUCUAUUUUAGUUGAAGUUUUUUGAGAAAAAUUUCAACAAAAUAUUUUGUUUAAUUUGUUCGCGGUUUUCAUUGAUCAAAGAAUUGAUAGCAAGGAUCGGUUUCGGUGUGGAUACGCAUAGAGUCUUCGCACUAUCAAAGAAAUUUUGAAACGAGACACUCUUUAUCAGGUACGUCUUAGAUCCGAUCUUUGGUAUGUAAAUAAAUUUUAAACACGAAAAGAUCUUCCUAGGAUUAUUAUUGUAACGAACCCCUAUACGCAAUCCUUCAAUUAGUUAUUAGGAAGAGUGAUUUCUCAAUGUCUUUCCAUGACCAGUUCUUCAUAUCACUCUUUAAAGUCGGGCCAUAAAUCCCAGGAAGUCAUGACCUUGAAAAAAGCUGAAUCUGAAGGAGCUUGCCAUAAGAGCACUUCUUUCCAAGCAGCUCUCGCUUAAACAUCAUUAAUUCUGCUUUUAAUUGCAAUUUUCAUCAACCUGAUUGAUCAUAUUUGUGCGCUCUCCAUAACAACCUAUUCACAACAUUUCGACAAAGCACAGACUUAAGGAGUUCGAAUAUACUCGAAUGGCAGUGCAGUAUCUUCAGAGUUCUCUUCCUCUGCAACAACCCCAUUCAUAACCUUUGGGAGAUACCAAUCAGGCAGAUCAAAGAUUUAAAUUUGAUGGUUUCAGUCUUUAACUUUGUUAGCACUGAACUUACUAUACUUCUGAAAUUAUGGGUACAGAAUAUAAUAUGUUUAAAAAAUUAGUGUUUUUUCACACACAUAUAUAUUCAUGUUUUGUGUUGGAAAUUCUGGGUUCAUUGAACCUAUGGCUAAUAAGCUACAUCCGCCACUAUCAAUGGAGUACUACCCUGUAGCCGUAUCGCUUCUCAUUAUCCACGAAAAGCCACCUAAAUAUGCACAUCUUCCAAAGACUCCAACAUCACGCUCAUUAUCUAUAAAGAAUGCAUGAAUAAAAAAGUCUUCAAGACCUUAAAUUUCAUUGUUUCUUUUCAGUAGCGACACUAUAUGAAGAAUCGGCAUUUAAAUCUCACUUAGGCAUUUCAUCGAAUACCUUGCAAGGAUAUGUUGUCUGCUAUGGUAGAAGAUUUAGGGAGUGGAAAUGAUAAAAAAACAGAGAGUUCAAUAUUUCACCUUUCUUAUAGCCUGUUUGGCCAAACUUUUUUCUUAGCCAAAAGUGUUUUUUUUUUCGGUGUUUGGCCAAGAAAAAAAAAAGUGCUUCUGAGUAGAAGUAGAAGCAGUUUUUGAGAAUCAUAAAAAAAUAGUUUCUCCCUGGAAGCACUUUUUCAAAAAAUAAUUUUAAAAAAAUACACUUAAAAACACCUUUUAACAGCUUGGCCAUACACUAAUAGAUUGCCAAACACUAAUGGUCAAAUAAUAUGAGUGUUAUAAUCUCUAUGAAUCCUUUUAUUCUUCUUUCCAAUAGUAAAUAAUUCGAGCUUAAUCUUGAAUUUUAUUUUAUUGUAAUUCAAGUGUUUGAGGUCUGAUCAUGAUCUUGACGUAUUUUUAAUCUAAGGGAUUGCCGCUUUUUCUUGAAUUGAUCUUUUAAUCAUUAGAACACUUGAAUGCUUAUAGCUUUUAGAGAAAUCUACAUUGUUUGAUUCACAAGCUCUCUCUUGAUUCUUGUGAUAACUUCUUCUCAGUUAUUUUUUGACAGCUUAAGCUUUGAAACUAUAUGGAGUAUUAAAAAAUGAAAAAGAUUGUUUGCAGACCAUAACCGGACUUUGGUAAACAAAACAACUAUUUUCCCUCCAUAAAAAUCCAUUUGCAUGCAUAAGUAUACUAUUUUAUAGAGGUGGGUUCGAAAUUUGAAACUUCGAAAAACCUGUCAUUGAUCUUUGUAAAUGUGAUAGUUGAGAACUAUGAUUCGUUAUUCGAUUAAUAUUUGCCAUCAUAUCCUGGCUUUAGCGUCUGCCGAGCACAUCUAAGUGAAGUUCCUACAUUUUAAUUGAAUUAUUCUUUUUUUUUUGUUACAGACACUAGCGUAAUCACAUACAGUAAAGGGUGGUAAUUAAGUUGAACACCCUUCAACAAUAAUAAUAUGUCAUUGUAAUCACACAAGUGGAAUCUGGGGAGGAUAAUAUAUACGGAGACAGGCUUUAUCCCUACGUUGUGUGAGGUAGAGAGGUUGUUUUCGCUCAAAGAAAAAAAGAAAGCGAGUUUGGAAAAAAAAAUAGUGAAGAGGCAAGUUGAAUAUCUUUCAUCUAAAAAUUA
This 2282-nucleotide long non-coding RNA is filed under the name Nicotiana tabacum (common tobacco). RNAcentral describes it as "long non-coding RNA (NTAB_LNC000250)". Lineage: Eukaryota; Viridiplantae; Streptophyta; Magnoliopsida; Solanales; Solanaceae. The record is from RNAcentral.